Long non-coding RNA from Amblyraja radiata (thorny skate), 1018 nucleotides. RefSeq lists it as uncharacterized. The record is from RefSeq and is a predicted model, not a curated record. Lineage: Eukaryota; Metazoa; Chordata; Chondrichthyes; Rajiformes; Rajidae. The transcript has 4 exons.
UUUUUCUGUCAAACUGCGCCCAAAUUUUAUUUUAUUUUUUGCAAUUUACAUUUUGCAAAGGUUUUUAUUUUGCAACAGUGUGAGGGAACUGACACAUUGCACCGUUGGACGGCUGGAGUUUACUUUAGUUUAGGCGCGCGGUUAGUCCUGUCAGUGCGGGCGGGACAAGGCAAUAAUGUCUCUGACACAAAAAACUAAAUGCACCGAGCUUUCAAGAGACGCGUUUUUCAAAUGACGGAGUGGGAAUAAAGAGAGGUUCUAAUUUUCUGGUGAAUGCACCUUUUUAGUUGAUGUUACAACGCGACAGGUUCCUCCCACCAGCUCCUUCCUUCGCUGACUCUAAAACGAAUUGCAAAUGAAUGUCUUUAAACAAAAAUUCUGCCGGCCGCUCACUUCUGGAUAUCAUUUAGAAGCCGGUUGUGCUAUCUGGUGCGUCAGGCAGAAAAGUGAAUGCAAUGCAAAACCACAUUGAAACGCCGCAGUUUGUGUACACCAAGAUAUCAAUAAUGGCAAAGAGAAAAAGAAGAAGUGACUUGAUUCCAUUCUAAGGAUUGGUGAAGGCAAGAAUGAUUCACAAUGCUGACUGAAUACAAACAAUUCAGAGACAGAUAUUCUACUGAAGAAGGGCCUAAAGAAUAUGAUAAGAAGCAGAUGAACAAACUUUGUUGGACGAGCAGCUACAACAAUGAGGAGAGCAAUUGCUGGACUCAAUAGCAAUGCAGGGAGGACUUAUCCAGCCCACAGAUUGUUGACUUGGGGUUGCAGCAGCAGCAGUGGUUUGGAAGCUGCACUGGCUGAAAACAACAUGAUUCCGACUGAUGAAGAUGCUGGAAAUCUGAACGAGAACAAGAAUGCAUUUGAAUGUAAAUAUUCAUCAGGUGAGGUCAGACCAUGGCAUCGGAUAGAGAGAUUUGCCGAUUUUGGGUGAUGACAUUUCUCCCAUUCUUCCCCACAGAUGGCGUAUGACCCACAGAGUGAUUUUAGCUUGUAUUAUUUUUAUUAAAAGGGCUUGAACUUG